GGCCUUCGGGUUGUAAACCUCUUUUAGUAGGGAAGAAGCGAAAGUGACGGUACCUGCAGAAAAAGCACCGGCUAACUACGUGCCAGCAGCCGCGGUAAUACGUAGGGUGCAAGCGUUGUCCGGAAUUAUUGGGCGUAAAGAGCUCGUAGGCGGUUUGUCGCGUCUGCUGUGAAAUCCCGAGGCUCAACCUCGGGCUUGCAGUGGGUACGGGCAGACUAGAGUGCGGUAGGGGAGAUUGGAAUUCCUGGUGUAGCGGUGGAAUGCGCAGAUAUCAGGAGGAACACCGAUGGCGAAGGCAGAUCUCUGGGCCGUAACUGACGCUGAGGAGCGAAAGCAUGGGGAGCGAACAGGAUUAGAUACCCUGGUAGUCCAUGCCGUAAACGUUGGGCGCUAGAUGUAGGGACCUUUCCACGGUUUCUGUGUCGUAGCUAACGCAUUAAGCGCCCCGCCUGGGGAGUACGGCCGCAAGGCUAAAACUCAAAGGAAUUGACGGGGGCCCGCACAAGCGGCGGAGCAUGCGGAUUAAUUCGAUGCAACGCGAAGAACCUUACCAAGGCUUGACAUACACCGGAAACGGCCAGAGAUGGUCGCCCCCUUGUGGUCGGUGUACAGGUGGUGCAUGGUUGUCGUCAGCUCGUGUCGUGAGAUGUUGGGUUAAGUCCCGCAACGAGCGCAACCCUCGUUCUAUGUUGCCAGCGGGUU
RNAcentral lists this ribosomal RNA (702 nucleotides) under uncultured Streptomyces sp. RNAcentral describes it as "bacterial SSU rRNA". It matches the Rfam family "Bacterial small subunit ribosomal RNA", at positions 413 to 1127 of the family's 1533-position model. The record is from RNAcentral. Lineage: Bacteria; Bacillati; Actinomycetota; Actinomycetes; Kitasatosporales; Streptomycetaceae.